RNAcentral lists this ribosomal RNA (446 nucleotides) under uncultured bacterium. RNAcentral describes it as "partial 16S ribosomal RNA". It matches the Rfam family "Bacterial small subunit ribosomal RNA", at positions 354 to 796 of the family's 1533-position model. The record is from RNAcentral.
GUAAGGAAUAUUGGGCAAUGGAGGCAACUCUGACCCAGCCAUGCCGCGUGAAGGAUUGACGGCCCUCUGGGUUGUAAACUUCUUUUGUACGGGAAUAACCCUCCGAACGUGUUCGGAGCUGAAGGUACCGUAAGAAUAAGGAUCGGCUAACUCCGUGCCAGCAGCCGCGGUAAUACGGAGGAUCCAAGCGUUAUCCGGAUUUACUGGGUUUAAAGGGUGCGUAGGCGGAUUGAUAAGUCAGUGGUGAAAUCCUGCAGCUUAACUGCAGAACUGCCAUUGAUACUGCCAGUCUGGAGUAUGGUUGAGGUAGCUGGAAUGUGUCAUGUAGCGGUGAAAUGCGUAGAUAUUAGGAGGAACACCAGUGGCGAAGGCGGCUUUCUGGACUGUAACUGACACUGAGGCACGAAAGCGUGGGGAGCAAACAGGAUUAGAAACCCGGGUAGUCC